GAGAGGUUGUUUUCGAUAGACCCCCGGCUCGAGAUCAAACACCGUAGGAAAAAACAUAAUAUAAGAACAAGUAACAAAAAGUAGUAACAAAACAAUAGACAGUAGCAGAAACAAGAUUAUCAGUAAAUAAUACCACCAACAAUCUACCGAAACCGUAAACAACAUCCAAUAACUCCAAGGACAAGAUACUAUACCCGUGAAACGCUAUAACUUCUAGCCCCUAUCCUAUCAGUCUUCCACCUUUGUACACGUCCUCCACACCUUCCUAUCUAGAAUCAUGUCCUCGGUAGGCUGUAACAGCUCCAUGUCAUGUUUAAGCACCUUUAUCUUGCCUGAAUCCAUUAAUAGCCAACCUCUCGCCCCUCCGCACCGGGGCAUUUGAGUCCCUCUCAUAUGACCGAAAGAGAAAGUAAGUGCAAUAUGAAUGGAAAUUGAUCUUUGUACCAGAUGCAUAGAGGCUAUCUAAUUUUUUG
Molecule: long non-coding RNA, 473 nt
Filed under: Capsicum annuum
Lineage: Eukaryota; Viridiplantae; Streptophyta; Magnoliopsida; Solanales; Solanaceae
Description: long non-coding RNA (CANN_LNC009141)
Source: RNAcentral